This is a non-coding RNA of Arachis ipaensis, 393 nucleotides long. The record is from RefSeq and is a predicted model, not a curated record. NCBI's taxonomy places the organism in Eukaryota, Viridiplantae, Streptophyta, Magnoliopsida, Fabales, Fabaceae.
AAAGAAACUUUUUCUCCUCAACAUAAGAAAGAAAGAAGCAGCAGCAAGAAUGUAUGGGGAUUGCCAAGUAAUGUCUACAAUGGGAGGCAACGUAGUUGUAAACUCAUCCAAAACACUUUUCUCUUCUCCGAUCCAAAACAACAGCUUCACCUUCAUGCCUACCAUGCAUUUCCAUCACUCUUUUCCCACCAUGAAGGAAGAAGACGGGAUCUUGCGAGGGAAAGAAGAGAUCAUGGAGAGCGGUUUAGGGAGUGAACAAGUUGAACAAUUAUGUAUGAUCUAAGGGAAGGAAGUUUAAGAGGGCUAGAAGAAGGAGGAACAGCAAAGGACUUAGGAUUUAAGUUGUAUUGUUUUUGUAUUUUUCUUUAGUUUUUAGUUUUGGAAUUUGAACUC